Molecule: long non-coding RNA, 206 nt
Filed under: Elaeis guineensis (African oil palm)
Lineage: Eukaryota; Viridiplantae; Streptophyta; Magnoliopsida; Arecales; Arecaceae
Description: long non-coding RNA (EGUI_LNC070710)
Source: RNAcentral
GAUUGCUGAGGCGAUGAUGGCCGAAGUGAUGUUGCUGGAGCUUUGCUCGAGUACCUACAAAAAGUUCUCACAAGAGGAUUCUCUGAUAAAAUCCCUUGGAUGCUCAAGUUAGGAGAUGGAGAACAAUAAGAAGGAGAGAGUGGGAGUCGAAAACUUAUUUUGGGGGUCCUCAUGCCUCUCUAUUUAUAAAGACGGAGUUAGAGUCA